RNAcentral lists this ribosomal RNA (254 nucleotides) under uncultured bacterium. RNAcentral's name for it is "partial 16S ribosomal RNA". It matches the Rfam family "Bacterial small subunit ribosomal RNA", at positions 524 to 776 of the family's 1533-position model. The record is from RNAcentral.
UACGAAGGGGGCUAGCGUUGUUCGGAAUUACUGGGCGUAAAGCGUAUGCAGGCGGAUCGUUAAGUCGGGGGUGAAAUCCCGAGGCUCAACCUCGGAACUGCCUUCGAUACUGGCGAUCUUCGAGUCCGGGAGAGGUGAGUGGAACUCCGAGUGUAGAGGUGAAAUUCGUAGAUAUUCGCAAGAACACCAGUGGCGAAGGCGGCUCACUGGCCCGAUACUGACGCUGAGGCACGAAAGCGUGGGGAGCAAACAGG